UGGGGAAUAUUGCACAAUGGGGGAAACCCUGAUGCAGCGACGCCGCGUGAACGAAGAAGGUCUUCGUAUCGUAAAGUUCUGCCCUAUGGGAAGAUAAUGACAGUACCAUAGAAGAAAGCUCCGGCUAAAUACGUGCCAGCAGCCGCGGUAAUACGUAUGGAGCGAGCGUUGUCCGGAAUUAUUGGGCGUAAAGGGUACGCAGGCGGUUUAAUAAGUCGAAUGUUAAAGAUCGGGGCUCAACCCCGUAAAGCAUUGGAAACUGAUAAACUUGAGUAGUGGAGAGGAAAGUGGAAUUCCUAGUGUAGUGGUGAAAUACGUAGAUAUUAGGAGGAAUACCAGUAGCGAAGGCGACUUUCUGGACACAAACUGACGCUGAGGUACGAAAGCGGGGGGAGCAAACAGG
This 403-nucleotide ribosomal RNA is filed under the name Actinomycetes bacterium. RNAcentral's name for it is "Actinobacteria bacterium partial 16S ribosomal RNA". It matches the Rfam family "Bacterial small subunit ribosomal RNA", at positions 355 to 776 of the family's 1533-position model. Lineage: Bacteria; Bacillati; Actinomycetota; Actinomycetes. The record is from RNAcentral.